AGAUUUUGAUCAUGGCUCAGGAUGAACGCUAGCUACAGGCUUAACACAUGCAAGUCGAGGGGCAGCAUUUUAGUUUGCUUGCAAACUGAAGAUGGCGACCGGCGCACGGGUGAGUAACACGUAUCCAACCUGCCGAUAACUCCGGAAUAGCCUUUCGAAAGAAAGAUUAAUACCGGAUAGCAUACGAAUAUCGCAUGAUAUUUUUAUUAAAGAAUUUCGGUUAUCGAUGGGGAUGCGUUCCAUUUAG
This 247-nucleotide ribosomal RNA is filed under the name uncultured bacterium. RNAcentral's name for it is "partial 16S ribosomal RNA". It matches the Rfam family "Bacterial small subunit ribosomal RNA", at positions 8 to 245 of the family's 1533-position model. The record is from RNAcentral.